CUCUCUUCGGCAAUGGUGAGGGUGUCGGUCCAUGGCGACGUCUAAAAGGAUAUUGAUGUAUUGCCCGGUUGAUUGGCCCUCCCGGAUAACGCGAAGGUUAAAUUCAAUCGUAGCUACGAAACUAGGUGGUUCAGUUGUGCGGCUGUUCCAGAAACAAAAGAACAGAGACAGGUCUGAACACGAGGUGCAUGGACUGCAAACGAGUCUGGAAGCGGUGACGCCGUGCGGAUUUGUUGUCCUACGGGGUGACAUAGACGUCGCGUCUGCAUCUAUCGCAGCGGCAAAAAACCGUCUGGACCUUCUCUCCGGGUGGUCCUCGAAAUUACGGACCAGAUAUUUGGACGGCUGCGGGCUUCUGGAAAUAUCGGCACGACGCGAAAGGGAUUCUCCAUCCGUUAUCGAUUUCGCCCAUGGUGAUCGAGCCUGAUGGUGCGGUAAACUCUGGAGAGAAGGGAAAAAAGAAUGGCUUUUAUUUACGAGGGGCACAGAGGCGUUCUGCCGACAAGCUGACUGCAAAGAAACUCGGAGUUGAAUACCGCGAGGAACGGAGUUAGGGGUGGCAGGAGCAACUCGCUGGGGGAAGAAGAAACGUAUUUCCCGGCGGGAAGACGCAGGAAUUACCGUGGAAAGGAGAAAAAUAAUGAAAUCUCUCCUGAAAAUCUGUUAUUCCGCGUACGAAAAUUACGAUAAUAUCGCAAUUGAAGCGAUAUCAUUGCUCUUCGCGACGAGGAAGAAGAAGAAAUCCAUCAUCCGAGAUCGCACGUUUAUAAUAUGCUAUUGUCAGGUAAGAUUUCAACGUAGGUUUGACGGCAGAAGGUACAUACAACAUAUUCGUAUUCUUUGUAAUUACGACCAAUUUAGAAGAUUUAAAAUUACUAUCCACGCUAUCGUACUGUUUACGACCAAAUACCUGCUGUAAGAAGCCCUUGUAAUAAAAAUAUUU
Neodiprion virginianus is the source of this 943-nucleotide RNA transcript. RefSeq lists it as uncharacterized. The transcript is spliced from 5 exons. The record is from RefSeq and is a predicted model, not a curated record. Lineage: Eukaryota; Metazoa; Arthropoda; Insecta; Hymenoptera; Diprionidae.